This 501-nucleotide ribosomal RNA is filed under the name uncultured bacterium. RNAcentral describes it as "partial 16S ribosomal RNA". It matches the Rfam family "Bacterial small subunit ribosomal RNA", at positions 30 to 523 of the family's 1533-position model. The record is from RNAcentral.
AUUGAACGCUGGCGGCAGGCUUAACACAUGCAAGUCGAGCGGGCGAGGUUGCUUCGGUAACUGAGCUAGCGGCGGUCGGGUGAGUAAUGCUUAGGAAUCUGCCUAUUAGUGGGGGACAACAUUCCGAAAGGGAUGCUAAUACCGCAUACGUCCUACGGGAGAAAGCAGGGGCUCUUUAUGACCUUGCGCUAAUAGAUGAGCCUAAGUCGGAUUAGCUAGUUGGUGGGGUAAAGGCCUACCAAGGCGACGAUCUGUAGCGGGUCUGAGAGGAUGAUCCGCCACACUGGGACUGAGACACGGCCCAGACUCCUACGGGAGGCAGCAGUGGGGAAUAUUGGACAAUGGGGGGAACCCUGAUCCAGCCAUGCCGCGUGUGUGAAGAAGGCCUUUUGGUUGUAAAGCACUUUAAGUGGGAGGAGGCUUACCUGGUUAAUACCUGGGCUAAGUGGACGUUACCCACAGAAUAAGCACCGGCUAACUCUGUGCCAGCCGCCGCAGUAA